UACCAGCUCUCCGAGUGGUGUGGAUGUUUAUUGGGCCUAAAGCAUCCGUAGCUGGCUGGACAAGUCCCCUGUUAAAUCCACCGAUUUAAUCGUUGGUGUGCGGGGGAUACUGUUCGGCUAGGGGACGGGAGAGGCCGACGGUAUUUCCGGGGUAGGGGUGAAAUCCUAUAAUCCCGGGAAGACCACCAGUGGCGAAGGCUGUCGGCUAGAACGCGCCCGACGGUGAGGGGAUAGAAAGCGUGGGGGAGCGAACCGGAUUAGACGUACCCGGGUACGCCCCAGCUGUAAACGAUGCAGGCUAGGUGUUUGGGCGGCCACGUGCCGCUCUAGUGCCGCAAGGAAGCUGUUAAGCCUGCCGCCGUGGGGAGUACGGCCGCAAGGCUGAAACUUAAAGGAAUUGGGCGGGGGAGCACCACGAAGGGUGAAGCUUGCGGUUU
This 437-nucleotide ribosomal RNA is filed under the name uncultured archaeon. Its description in RNAcentral is "bacterial SSU rRNA". It matches the Rfam family "Archaeal small subunit ribosomal RNA", at positions 474 to 903 of the family's 1478-position model. The record is from RNAcentral.